RNAcentral lists this long non-coding RNA (459 nucleotides) under Brassica napus (rape). Its description in RNAcentral is "long non-coding RNA (BNAP_LNC021319)". Lineage: Eukaryota; Viridiplantae; Streptophyta; Magnoliopsida; Brassicales; Brassicaceae. The record is from RNAcentral.
UAUAUUUAUUAGGUUCUCUAGCUCCUCGUGGAUUCGAUCCCUAAGUACUAUAACUGAACCUCUUAUUUGAAAGAGUAAUUCACUCAUUAGAGUAAUUUGAGUGGAGAUCAAAUUCAUUGAUCUUGUUUUUAAAAAACACAUAAGUUAUAUUCAUUGUUGAAGGCUCGGUUGAAUUUAUCUACCAUAUACUCUCUAACACUUGCACUUGGAUUUUUAAGAGUAUAAUUAUCCCUCGAAAGUGCUUCGUCGAACAAUUGAAUUAAAGUUUUUCCUUAUAUAUAUAUGACCAUUUGUAUUAGGCAAAUCUCCAAAAUAGCACCUUUCUAAAUUUAUAUCACAAAAAUAGCACUCAAAAACUAAAAUGACCAAAAUAGCACAUUUCUAAGUUUAUCCUUUGAAAAUUUUAAUUAUUUUAUUUUUCAAAAUUUGAAAUCUUAUCCCCAAAACCUCAUUUCUCAA